AACGAACGCUGGCGGCAGGCUUAACACAUGCAAGUCGAACGGGUGUAGCAAUACAUCAGUGGCAGACGGGUGAGUAACACGUGGGAACCUUCCUAGGGGUACGGAACAACUCAGGGAAACUUGAGCUAAUACCGUAUACGUCCGUGAGGAGAAAGAUUUAUCGCCCUUAGACGGGCCCGCGUCGGAUUAGCUAGUUGGUGGGGUAACGGCCUACCAAGGCGACGAUCCGUAGCUGAUCUUAGAGGAUGAUCAGCCACACUGGGACUGAGACACGGCCCAGACUCCUACGGGAGGCAGCGGUGGGGAAUCUUGGGCAAUGGGCGCAAGCCGGAUCCAGCCAUGCCGCGUGAGUGAAGAAGGUCUUCGGAUUGUAAAGCUCUUUUGCCAGGGACGAUAAUGACGGUACCUGGAGAAUAAGCCCCGGCAAACUUCGUGCCAGCCGCCGCGGUAA
RNAcentral lists this ribosomal RNA (451 nucleotides) under uncultured bacterium. Its description in RNAcentral is "partial 16S ribosomal RNA". It matches the Rfam family "Bacterial small subunit ribosomal RNA", at positions 29 to 523 of the family's 1533-position model. The record is from RNAcentral.